UGAAGCUCCUGGCCCCAGAUGGUUUACAAAGUCCACACAUGCACCAUCUGGUCACGGCGUGGUCCUUGCCCCCAUGCCAGGAAAAUCCCCAAAGUCCCCAACACAUGUUGAAAGAAAGGAAUCAUAGGACACCUGAAAUGACAAUGGAAGUAGGAAAUCAGUGACAUUUGCUAAGUCCCAGAAUAGACAAAACACAGAACUCAUGGCCAGGAAGUGCCUCCUCUUGGGGAGGUUUGGGCCCAUCAGGGAAGGGGAGUUAGGGGAAGCAUCCUCCCAUGGCAUCCCAGACACCUGCGGAGAAGCCAGUGGAGGGUACCAGCUUCCUGCUUGGGACCCAGAGAGCAGGUGUCCACACUGGUCCCUCACGGGGAGGACGGCACUGAACAGAGAGCUUAGGACCCAACAGCUGCUGGGGAAGGCUGUAGUUCCACCGCUGUCUCCUCUCUCCCCUGCAGCCACUGGCUUGUUCAAGUUCCAACUUAAAAGCUCCAGGAUUUCCCCACAAGGCCUUUCCAUCUUCUACUGCGCCGAAGCCAUCUUUGGCAAAAAUACCGUCCCUGUCGCUGGAAGUAUCCUCCCUCCUGAUCCUAAAAAUGCCAAUAUUUCCAUAACUCUGUCUCACACGAUGCUCAAGACAAUCGUUA
This 644-nucleotide long non-coding RNA is filed under the name Ictidomys tridecemlineatus (thirteen-lined ground squirrel). RNAcentral's name for it is "lncRNA (ENSSTOG00000030476.1)". Lineage: Eukaryota; Metazoa; Chordata; Mammalia; Rodentia; Sciuridae. The record is from RNAcentral.